UACGGGGGGGGCAAGCGUUGUUCGGAAUUAUUGGGCGUAAAGAGCUCGUAGGCGGUCUGUCGCGUCGGCUGUGAAAUCCCGAGGCUCAACCGGGGAACUGCGUCUGAUACUGGAUGGCUUGAGUUUGGGAGAGGGAUGCGGAAUUCCAGGUGUAGCGGUGAAAUGCGUAGAGAUCCGGAAGAACACCGGUGGCGAAGGCGGCCUGCUGGGCAGUUUGGCUGACACUGAGGCGCGACAGCGUGGGGAGCAAACAGG
RNAcentral lists this ribosomal RNA (255 nucleotides) under uncultured bacterium. Its description in RNAcentral is "partial 16S ribosomal RNA". It matches the Rfam family "Bacterial small subunit ribosomal RNA", at positions 524 to 776 of the family's 1533-position model. The record is from RNAcentral.